This 253-nucleotide ribosomal RNA is filed under the name uncultured bacterium. RNAcentral describes it as "partial 16S ribosomal RNA". It matches the Rfam family "Bacterial small subunit ribosomal RNA", at positions 524 to 776 of the family's 1533-position model. The record is from RNAcentral.
UACGAAGGGUGCGAGCGUUGUCCGGAAUCACUGGGCGUAAAGGGCGCGUAGGUGGCGGCCCAAGUCCAUGGUGAAAGCUCGAUGCUCAACAUCGAGUCGGCCACGGAUACUGGGUUGCUCGAGCACUGUAGGGGCAGAUGGAAUUCCGGGUGUAGCGGUGGAAUGCGUAGAGAUCCGGAAGAACACCGGUGGCGAAGGCGGUCUGCUGGGCAGUUGCUGACACUGAGGCGCGACAGCGUGGGGAGCAAACAGG